AGCGCAGGUGGUUUAUUAAGUCUGGUGUGAAAGGCAGUGGCUCAACCAUUGUAUGCAUUGGAAACUGGUAGACUUGAGUGCAGGAGAGGAGAGUGGAAUUCCAUGUGUAGCGGUGAAAUGCGUAGAUAUAUGGAGGAACACCGGUGGCGAAAGCGGCUCUCUGGCCUGUAACUGACACUGAGGCUCGAAAGCGUGGGAGCAAACA
RNAcentral lists this ribosomal RNA (205 nucleotides) under uncultured bacterium. Its description in RNAcentral is "partial 16S ribosomal RNA". It matches the Rfam family "Bacterial small subunit ribosomal RNA", at positions 568 to 774 of the family's 1533-position model. The record is from RNAcentral.